RNAcentral lists this ribosomal RNA (494 nucleotides) under uncultured bacterium. Its description in RNAcentral is "partial 16S ribosomal RNA". It matches the Rfam family "Bacterial small subunit ribosomal RNA", at positions 28 to 507 of the family's 1533-position model. The record is from RNAcentral.
GACGAACGCUGGCGGCGUGCUUAACACAUGCAAGUCGAACGGUGAAGCGCCUUCCUUUUUGGUGGGUGUGGAUGAGUGGCGAACGGGUGAGUAACACGUGAGUAACCUGCCCCCUUCUUCUGGAUAACCGCAUGAAAGUGUGGCUAAUACGGGAUAUUCUGGGUCUGUCGCAUGAUGGGUCUGGGAAAGAUAUUGUUUCGGUGGGGGAUGGGCUCGCGGCCUAUCAGCUUGUUGGUGGGGUGAUGGCCUACCAAGGCGGUGACGGGUAGCCGGCCUGAGAGGGUGGACGGUCACACUGGGGAUGAGACACGGCCCAGACUCCAACGGGAGGCAGCAGUGGGGAAUAUUGCACAAUGGGCGCAAGCCUGAUGCAGCGACGCCGCGUGAGGGAUGGAGGCCUGCGGGUUGUGAACCUCUUUCGCCAGUGAAGCAGGCCUGCCUCGUUUGUGGGUGGGUUGACGGUAGCUGGAGAAGAAGCGCCGGCUAACUACGUG